UUGUUAUUUCAUGUGUUUUAUUCCCACUGUAGAGUUUCGAGUCAUGUGUGUGCGAGGAGGGCGGCUCUCCUCGGGUCAGCCCUCGCGUGGACAAUCAGGAAACGCCAGGAGUAUGUAUUAUAGAAAAUCCGCCUCAAGACCCGAUCUUGGUCUCCGACGCGUCAAUCGAGGACCUGUCUCUGUCAGGCCCCACCCGCAGUCCCCGAAGUCCCCGCAGUCCCCGCCGCGUGUGCGUGCGAGCCCCCGAGGACACUACGAGGGGGGAGGACAGCAGGGGGGUGGAGGAGCUGUUCUUCAAUAAGGGAGUGGAGAGCAAUGCUUCGGAAGUCGGAAAAUCAUAUGCUACAGAUGAAUGUGAGCCGACUUUAGAGGUAA
Ostrinia furnacalis (Asian corn borer) is the source of this 375-nucleotide long non-coding RNA. RefSeq lists it as uncharacterized. The record is from RefSeq and is a predicted model, not a curated record. The transcript has 3 exons. Lineage: Eukaryota; Metazoa; Arthropoda; Insecta; Lepidoptera; Crambidae.